CAACGACUCAUCCCCUCUCUCUCUCUCUCUCUCUCUCGCUUCUAUAUACCACCGUCUACUGCAGGUUUUGAUUUGGCUCCGGCGAUCGCCCUUCAUCUCGUUCCUCUUACUCGCUCCUACGACGGUUCUGUUAAUGGAAACACCAACCAACGGGAUUCAUAUGGAGAAAGCUUAGUGGGUGACCAACAUCAGAUCCUCACGGUCAGGAAUGCGAGGUGGUUUGCUGCUACAAAGAAGGCAACUGCUGCUGCUUUUGGUCAUCAAAGAAGCACAAGAAGUAACCCUGGGAACAACCUUCUUCGAUAUGGUUUUGCUGCAAUGCCCAGGAGAAUGAGCAGACUUAUGGCUUGAAUCCAUUCCGCCAGCAUAGCUCCUGCAUGCCUUCAUCUUCCUUCUGUAAGCAGUCUCUUUCUUGGGCAGAUCUUCAAUGCUGUUAACCACAGAGAGCGAUGUAUACGAUUGCGACUUGCCUUGGUAGUACUUGGACAGCCCUCUCCUACAUCACCCAAAUCCAAUUGCAAGUAGCUGCUCCAUUAGUGAAGGCAACUCAUACAGAGGUCUAUCAGAAUUCAGGUGGGGUGACAGCGACGAAGGAUCUGGAGUUGAAGGCGUUUCAUCUUCAUCAUCGGAGUUGCUGGAGAAGGGGUCAGAAUCGAAUAGCUCUUCGUCAUCUUCGUCACGACGUCUCAAGCAUCUAACCAGGUCUCAAGCAUCUGUCAGGGUUACCCACCCAAUCAUAACUUGGUAUCCACUGUGGAUGGAUGCUCAGGAUUGCAUGGAGGAGGUCCCAAGCAGGCGAGGGGGAGCCCCAGCGGGAUCUCCUAGUUGAAAACCAUGGCACAUGGCAUGGGUGGUGGGAGUUGAUCCCUUUGGUGCGGAAUAAAUAGCUAAAUGCUGUGUACAUAUAAUAUAUUAUAUAUGUGGAUUCCAUCCUUAGCCUACAAGGAUGAAGGCAUAGAUGAUGGAUGCCAAGGAUUGGACCGCCCCGAUCCAUGUCCCUCUUGUCUCUAAUUUGUGAUCAGACUCCAAUACUAUAAUAGCAGUCAAUACAAUCUGAUGUUGAACCAUGUUUGGACAUUAACAAGUAACGAUUGCAAUAGCUGGUCCUGUUGUACCUAAACUAGUUAAAUGUUUUAUAUGAUUUAUCCUCGAGCGGCCACCUUUUAGUGCAUUUAUUCACAUGAAUUCCCA
This is a long non-coding RNA of Musa acuminata subsp. malaccensis (wild Malaysian banana), 1191 nucleotides long. RefSeq lists it as uncharacterized. NCBI's taxonomy places the organism in Eukaryota, Viridiplantae, Streptophyta, Magnoliopsida, Zingiberales, Musaceae. The record is from RefSeq and is a predicted model, not a curated record.